Meriones unguiculatus (Mongolian gerbil) is the source of this 1782-nucleotide long non-coding RNA. RefSeq lists it as uncharacterized. NCBI's taxonomy places the organism in Eukaryota, Metazoa, Chordata, Mammalia, Rodentia, Muridae. The record is from RefSeq and is a predicted model, not a curated record. The transcript has 2 exons.
UUGCAAGGUCCAUAUGUCCUGAGUUCAGUCCCUGAGGCUGUCCUGUUGGCAGGCAAGAGCCUCUGUGGGAGAUUUUUAUGUGAUCAGAAAUAAGCUUUUGAAGGGUUUGUGGGGUCUCUUCUGCUUUCUGGACAUGAGGAGAGCAGUUGUUUUUCCACAUUCUGACUACCAUUUUCACCCAGAUGGUUGUUAAGCCCAAGAGUGACUGACAGGGAGAAAUGGACUGAAAGGGAGAGGUGGUUCUAAAGGUUUAAUGUGAUGGUAAGGGAAGAGACACAACAAAGGGAAGAACUUUGAAAAAUUUGCACUGAAUUUCAAAUAUGAAUUCAAGUUUUGUAAGAUUAUGGCAACAUUUUUGUCAAUGAAUGUUAAACAGUAAUGCCAGUUGUUCAAUUCAUUCUUGAGAAGGACAUUGAAUUAUCUUUAAAAAGGUCUUUAUUUUGUUUUUCUGAGAUACAGUUUCUUUGUGUAGCCCUGGCUGACCUGGAACUCACUCUAUAGACUAGGCUGGCCUCGAACUUAUGGAGAUCUGGCUGCCUCUGCCUCACAAGUACUGGGAUUAAGGAGUGUGCUACCACCACUCACUGCUGAAAAGUAUUUAAAGUUUCAUUUCUGACUUUAGUCUUAGCCGCUUUUUUUUUUCUUAUAGAAACCGCUUACAAAUGUUCCUUUCUCCCUUUUAAUUUUUAUAUCAUUUUCUUUUUCUUUUAAUUUUAUUUUAUUUUACAUUAUACAUAGAACAAAUGAUUUAUACAAGUAACAUCUCUUUCUAAUAUACAUGUUUUAUAUGAAAUAUGGUUUUGGCUGUCAUCAUCGUCUACAUAAAAUAACUGAUUUUCAAAGAGGUUAAGUAACUUGGUGGUGGUGACACAGCUGGCAGGUCUCUCAUGAGGUCUGCGUGACUCUACAACCUGCAGCCUGCCCCGCUGUUUCUGCCAAGGGGGGGGGACCGUUGAUUAGAGCAGAUUUCAAGUUUCACAUUCAUAUGAGGGAGGAUAUUUACCUCAUUCUCUCAGUUUGGCGUUGGAGUGAUGUUUCUGUGCACCGUGUAAAGGUUGUCUUUGUAUAUUCAAGUGCUGAUUUCUGUACCAGCAGAGCGCUGAGUGUAGUGGACUUUGGUAUUAUUAAGAAUCACCUGUUUCAAUGUUUUAUAAACAUACGCUUCUCUCACCUUCCGAUUGGUUUAAGAAAGAGCUAAGCAGCCAAUAGCGAAGGCAGGAAAGCAGGACUUCUGGAAGAGAGUGAAACUCUGGGAAAGAAUCAGGCGUGGGAAGAGUUACCUGCUGGAUAUGAAGGGAAAAACAAGUGCCAGGAUUGAGAUGGAGAAGUAACAGGGGCUAAUACGAACAGGAUAAAUUAAGGUGUGGCAUGUGGGACUGAUUGAGAUGGUCCACAGCAGCGGGCUGUUUGCCUCAUGCGGGCUCUGAGAGGAGCUCUUUGCCAGCUGCAGAUAAUUUAACUCUGACGACUCUGGAGAGAGAAUAAAUGUCAGAGCCCAGAGUGUGGAGAUGAAAGAACCAGGCUGCUCCUGCUCCCUCCUUUGUUGCUCCUGGGUGCUGUUUGAUGCAAUGGGAGAAGAAGCUGGAGAUCUCCUGAAAUGAAGAUUGGACCGUCUCUAAGGAACCUGACAACCCUAAGAAGCAGGAAGCAGCUAAGAGAACUGCACCCCCUCCCACUAACCCUUUCUCUCUCUUAUCUGGUAUUGACAUGUUGGAAGGGAUUGGUGUGGAGUAGGGAAAAAGAGAUAUAAGAAAUGUAAAUAAAAAAGUUUUAAAAAACUAA